This is a long non-coding RNA of Diceros bicornis minor, 1397 nucleotides long. RefSeq lists it as uncharacterized. The transcript has 3 exons. The record is from RefSeq and is a predicted model, not a curated record. NCBI's taxonomy places the organism in Eukaryota, Metazoa, Chordata, Mammalia, Perissodactyla, Rhinocerotidae.
UUAAGGCCACAUCUGGGCCUCCUUCCAUCAUGUCUAUGCUGCCUACACACUAGGCUCUCCAGCAUCCCUGCACGUACUUAUGUAAUGCUGUUUCAGGAGGAAAUGUCCUGGAGGCCCCAGCCUCUGUCAGGCCAUGAGAUGACCUGAAUGCAGAUAUAGUGGGAUUCAUCACCUCUGCAUCCUUCAGUCCUCGGUGGUGGUCCUAAUCUCUGCAGCCCCUCCAGGAAUGCGACACUCAGAUCAACUAGCUACCACCAUAGGUUUCUGUGAGUCAAAUGGAUUCUCAUUAUUGCCUUGACUUCACUAUCCAUUACAGAAACCAUAACCACCUUGUCUCUUGAGAUUCAGUGCCUCUGCUUGGUCUCUGCUGCCCGAGGAUCCAGGUGUCCUCACUGCAUAUCAAGAUCCCAGGUCACUGGCAGCAGUUCCACUGUAAUGUCUGCCCUAAAGAGGAGAGUGGCCACAGAGCUCUUCACGGACUCUGGGGCUGCCCUCAUGAAUUUAUUUCCACAGUAGUAGUGCAAGUGUGUCCUCUGGACCCUGUUGGGGUGGGUAGGCAUGUCUUACAUGAUAAAUACACUCUAACGUUCCAAUCACCUAAGCCUUGGAUACCUUCUUCUAUAGGAGACCAAGGAAGGUCAGCCUCACUUAGUGUAUUCCCGGCAACCAACGACACUGCUGGAACUCUUUGUGCCCUCUCAAGACACAGCAAAGAGUAGAGAAUCUCUGCUUAGUGGGCCCAUAUCAAUAAAUUAGACCGGAUCCAACUUUAUGUUCCUUCCGCCAUUAUCCAAACCCCUUAAUAGCCAUUUGCACACAGUUUUCCUAGAUUUGUUUCUGUAUACACUGGGGAAAGGAUGCAGCUAUUUUGGAACGUAGCACAACUCCUCAUGGGUCAUAUUUUACACUUCAGUCUCUGGGACAUGCUGGGAAUUGAGGCUACUAGGUCUAGUAGCAAAUGGGGCUGGUGGGUGUAGGUCCUCAGGAGAAUCAGCAAUACUUCCAAGGCAGCUUCCCGGGGGAGACCAUUACCGAGUCCUUAGGAAAAGCAGAGUUCACCCCCUCACGCAGGGCUGGGAGGGCUUCUUCGUUGGCAAAGAAGACUGUACAAUCUUAUAAUCAUUUUUAUUCCCAUAGAGUCGGUAGUAAUAUCCAACGUUCAUUUCUGGUUAUAAUAAUUUUAUCUAUUUUCUUUUUUGCUGGUUAGUCUAGCUAAAAGUUUGCCAAUUUUAUUGCUUUUUUCCUAGAAAACACUUUUGAUUUGACUGAUUUUCCCUCUUGUUUUCCUGUUCUUUAUUUCACCUCUGCUCAUAUUUAUUAUAAGCCUCUUUUUGCUGGUUUCAGGGUUGGUUUACUCUUCAUUUUCUACUCUUCAAGGUGUAAAGUUAGGUUAUGGU